RNAcentral lists this ribosomal RNA (1815 nucleotides) under Dermacentor reticulatus. RNAcentral describes it as "SSU rRNA". It matches the Rfam family "Eukaryotic small subunit ribosomal RNA". The record is from RNAcentral. Lineage: Eukaryota; Metazoa; Arthropoda; Arachnida; Ixodida; Ixodidae. RNAcentral also lists the same sequence under 1 other name.
UACCUGGUUGAUCCUGCCAGUAAUCAUAUGCUUGUCUCAAAGAUUAAGCCAUGCAUGUCUAAGUACAUGCCGAAAUAAGGCGAAACCGCGAAUGGCUCAUUAAAUCAGUUAUGGUUCCUUAGAUCGUUUCUUCCUACUUGGAUAACUGUGGCAAUUCUAGAGCUAAUACAUGCAGUGAGCCUGAAGCCCUUUGGGCGACGGGUGCUUUUAUUAGACCAAGAUCGAUCGGGUUUCGGCCCGUAUUGUGUGGUGACUCUGGAUAACUUUGUGCUGAUCGCAUGGCCACGAGCCGGCGACGUUUCUUUCAAGUGUCUGCCUUAUCAACUUUCGAUGGUAGGUUACUUGCUUACCAUGGUUGUUACGGGUAACGGAGAAUCAGGGUUCGAUUCCGGAGAGGGAGCCUGAGAAACGGCUACCACAUCCAAGGAAGGCAGCAGGCGCGCAAAUUACCCACUCCCGGCACGGGGAGGUAGUGACGAAAAAUAACAAUACGGGACUCUUUUGAGGCCCCGUAAUUGAAAUGAGUACACUCUAAAUCCUUUAACGAGGAUCAAUUGGAGGGCAAGUCUGGUGCCAGCAGCCGCGGUAAUUCCAGCUCCAAUAGCGUAUACUAAAGCUGCUGCGGUUAAAAAGCUCGUAGUUGGAUCUCAGUUCCAGACGAGUAGUGCAUCUACCCGAUGCGACGGCUCGGACUGAACAUCAUGCCGGUCCUUUCUUGGUGCACUUCAUUGUGUGCCUCGAGAAGGCCGGUGCUUUUACUUUGAAAAAAUUAGAGUGCUCAACGCAGGCGAGUCGCCUGAAUAAACUUGCAUGGAAUAAUAGAACAAGACCUCGUUUCUGUUCUGUUGGUUUUUGGAAUACGAGGUAAUGAUUAAGAGGGACAGACGGGGGCAUUCGUAUUGCGGCGCUAGAGGUGAAAUUCUUGGACCGUCGCAAGACGAACUACUGCGAAAGCAUUUGCCAAGAAUGUUUUCUUUGAUCAAGAACGAAAGUCAGAGGUUCGAAGGCGAUCAGAUACCGCCCUAGUUCUGACCAUAAACGAUGCCAACCAGCGAUCCGCCUGAGUUACUCAAAUGACUCGGCGGGCAGCUUCCGGGAAACCAAAGUAUUUGGGUUCCGGGGGAAGUAUGGUUGCAAAGCUGAAACUUAAAGGAAUUGACGGAAGGGCACCACCAGGAGUGGAGCCUGCGGCUUAAUUUGACUCAACACGGGAAAACUUACCCGGCCCGGACACUGGGAGGAUUGACAGAUUGAGAGCUCUUUCUUGAUUCGGUGGAUGGUGGUGCAUGGCCGUUCUUAGUUGGUGGAGCGAUUUGUCUGGUUAAUUCCGAUAACGAACGAGACUCUAGCCUAUUAAAUAGGUGCGGGGUUCCCAGCACCUUACAACCUUCUUAGAGGGACAAGCGGCUCCUAGCCGCACGAAACAGAGCAAUAACAGGUCUGUGAUGCCCUUAGAUGUCCGGGGCCGCACGCGCGCUACACUGAAGGAAGCAGCGUGUCUUUAUCCCUGUCUGAAAAGACUGGGUAACCCGUGGAACUUCUUUCGUGAUUGGGAUAGGGGCUUGCAAUUGUUCCCCUUGAACGAGGAAUUCCCAGUAAGCGCGAGUCAUAAGCUCGCGUUGAUUACGUCCCUGCCCUUUGUACACACCGCCCGUCGCUACUACCGAUUGAAUGAUUUAGUGAGGUCUUCGGACCGAUGUCCGGCGCGGCCUUUCGGUUGCGCCGGUCUGUUGGAAAGAUGACCAAACUUGAUCAUUUAGAGGAAGUAAAAGUCGUAACAAGGUUUCCGUAGGUGAACCUGCGGAAGGAUCAUUA